UACCGCCCUAGUUCUGACCGUAAACGAUGCCAACUGUCGAUUCGCUUGUGGAUUUCAUUCAUGAGCGAGGAGGUUCCCGGAAACGAAAGUUUUUCGGUUCCGGGGGAAGUAUGGUUGCAAAGCUGAAACUUAAAGGAAUUGACGGAAGGGCACCACCAGGAGUGGAGCUUGCGGCUUAAUUUGACUCAACACGGGAAAUCUCACCCGGCCAGUACAUUGUAAGGAUUGACAGACUGAUAGCUCUUUCAUGAUUCGGUGAAUGGUGGUGCAUGGCCGUUCUUAGUUCGUGGGCUGGCCUGUCUGGUUUAUUCCGAUAACGAGCGAGACUUUAACUACUAAAUAGUGCGCAAAUUUGCCUUGUGCAUGUUGGUGAUCACUUCUUAGAAGAAUUGGGGGUUUCCAACCUCAAGAGAUUGAGCAAUAACAGGUCUGUGAUGCCCUUAGAUGUUCGGGGCCGCACGCGUGCUACAAUGAUGGUAACAGCGUGAUUGUCCUUUUCCGAAAGGAAUUGGAAAACAGUUGAGAUAUUAUUAUGGCUGGAAUUGAGUGUUGAAAUUUUCUCUCAUGAACGAGGAAUUCCAAGUAAAUGCGAGUCAUCAACUUGCAUUGAUUACGUCCCUGCCCUUUGUACACACCGCCCGUCGCUGCCCGGGACUGGGUUACUUCGAGAAAACUAGGGAUUGAUGUUGUGUAUUCGUU
RNAcentral lists this ribosomal RNA (699 nucleotides) under Seinura sp. FAR. Its description in RNAcentral is "SSU rRNA". It matches the Rfam family "Eukaryotic small subunit ribosomal RNA", at positions 1013 to 1732 of the family's 1831-position model. The record is from RNAcentral. Lineage: Eukaryota; Metazoa; Nematoda; Chromadorea; Rhabditida; Aphelenchidae.